Long non-coding RNA from Oreochromis aureus, 1349 nucleotides. The record is from Ensembl. NCBI's taxonomy places the organism in Eukaryota, Metazoa, Chordata, Actinopteri, Cichliformes, Cichlidae.
CGGGCAGGCUUGUCAGGAGGUCUGAACGACCAGCGCCAUCUGGUGGACUAAUCCAGUUCAUUUAAACAGAUGGACGCUUUACUGAUCCCACUGAUGUGAAGCACUGAGUAAAUAUUUUUUUUUAAAUUGGAUCCAGUUUUGAUUAAAUUACUGUUGAUUCUGUGUGAUUAGAGUUUUUUAAAAGCUUCUAAGUAAAAAAAUAAAUAAAAAAGGGAAGGAGGACUCAGAGUCGAGUUUAUUCUGAGGUUAAGUUCAAAGUUUUAAUUUGUUCUUCAGUCCCUUUAUUUCCAAAGCCCACAAACAAAAGUGCAGAUGUGUGAUUUCUACCUCAUAACCAGCCACCAUUCAAAUAAAACGUGGAGUUGAUGUUAAGUUCAAAGUUUUAAUUUGUUCUUCAGUCCCUUUAUUUCCAAAGCCCACAAACAAAAGUGCAGAUGUGUGAUUUCUACCUCAUAACCAGCCACCAUUCAAAUAAAACGUGGAGUUGAUGUUAUCCUGUCUGAAACGCACUAACUUAACAAACACUAAAGGUUCAGUAUUUACAGCACAGAGAGCUUUCCGGUACAUUCUAUUGGCAUUUCUCAAAGAAAACACUAAACGAACGAGUUUCCCUCAAAGGUUCCCGUCUGUGUGGAGUGUCAGCAGCACCCGCGUCUUUCCACACCAACACAACGAGCACUGAGCGCGCUCAGAUUAGCUUUAAAAUGACCUCAGUGGACACAUUAUCCCAUCCUCAGAUGGUAACAGUUAGUGUUAAUGUCAGUUUACAUAACGGGAGCUCACAGUACCUUAAAGUGUUAAAGCAGCAUCAGACUGGUGGAUAUGAAACCGCUGCUGUAAAGGCUCACACACACACACACACACCGUUUCUCUGACUUAGCUUCGCUUCCAUGAUUCACUAGAGUGAAAAGCAAAGCGUCGCUCACAUGGCCUUUAAUUAUGAGUGACUUGGCAACAUUUUCCCUUUGCUUUGUCUUUAAAUCCAGUUUGUGAUUAAAAGAAAGAUCGAUUAGCUUAUUUGAACUAGAACUAGGGCCUGUGAGUAUGUGUGGGAGCCUUUAGAGCAGCGGUCCCCAACCUUUUUUGCGCCACGGACCGGUUUAUGCCCGACAAUAUUUUCACGGACCGGCCUUUAAGGUGUCGCGGAUAAAUACAACAAAAUAAAACUAGUACCGGUACCGAAAAAAAAAGAAGAUUUAUUUAUAACACUCGUGAAAAGACCCAGGAAAACCGAGUUAACGAUAAAAGCGAUAACAAAAUAACGCUGAAAACCGAUAAAACCCUGAAAACCAUACAUUUCACACCUGAGCCUCAACUCUCGCGCCCGGUACCAAACGACUCACGGACAG